This 1150-nucleotide ribosomal RNA is filed under the name Salmonella enterica. RNAcentral's name for it is "partial 23S ribosomal RNA". It matches the Rfam family "Bacterial large subunit ribosomal RNA", at positions 1 to 1190 of the family's 2925-position model. Lineage: Bacteria; Pseudomonadati; Pseudomonadota; Gammaproteobacteria; Enterobacterales; Enterobacteriaceae. The record is from RNAcentral.
GGUUAAGCGACUAAGCGUACACGGUGGAUGCCCUGGCAGUCAGAGGCGAUGAAGGGCGUGCUAAUCUGCGAUAAGCGCCGGUAAGGUGAUAUGAACCGUUAUAACCGGCGAUACCCGAAUGGGGAAACCCAGUGUGAUUCGUCACACUAUCAUUAACUGAAUCCAUAGGUUAAUGAGGCGAACCGGGGGAACUGAAACAUCUAAGUACCCCGAGGAAAAGAAAUCAACCGAGAUUCCCCCAGUAGCGGCGAGCGAACGGGGAGGAGCCCAGAGCCUGAAUCAGCAUGUGUGUUAGUGGAAGCGUCUGGAAAGGCGCGCGAUACAGGGUGACAGCCCCGUACACAAAAGCGCAUGUGCUGUGAGCUCGAUGAGUAGGGCGGGACACGUGGUAUCCUGUCUGAAUAUGGGGGGACCAUCCUCCAAGGCUAAAUACUCCUGACUGACCGAUAGUGAACCAGUACCGUGAGGGAAAGGCGAAAAGAACCCCGGCGAGGGGAGUGAAAAAGAACCUGAAACCGUGUACGUACAAGCAGUGGGAGCACAGGUUUACCUGUGUGACUGCGUACCUUUUGUAUAAUGGGUCAGCGACUUAUAUUCUGUAGCAAGGUUAACCGUAUAGGGGAGCCGAAGGGAAACCGAGUCUUAACCGGGCGUUAAGUUGCAGGGUAUAGACCCGAAACCCGGUGAUCUAGCCAUGGGCAGGUUGAAGGUUGGGUAACACUAACUGGAGGACCGAACCGACUAAUGUUGAAAAAUUAGCGGAUGACCUGUGGCUGGGGGUGAAAGGCCAAUCAAACCGGGAGAUAGCUGGUUCUCCCCGAAAGCUAUUUAGGUAGCGCCUCGUGAAUUCAUCUCCGGGGGUAGAGCACUGUUUCGGCUAGGGGGCCAUCCCGGCUUACCAACCCGAUGCAAACUGCGAAUACCGGAGAAUGUUAUCACGGGAGACACACGGCGGGUGCUAACGUCCGUCGUGAAGAGGGAAACAACCCAGACCGCCAGCUAAGGUCCCAAAGUCAUGGUUAAGUGGGAAACGAUGUGGGAAGGCCCAGACAGCCAGGAUGUUGGCUUAGAAGCAGCCAUCAUUUAAAGAAAGCGUAAUAGCUCACUGGUCGAGUCGGCCUGCGCGGAAGAUGUAACGGGGCUAAACCAU